This 208-nucleotide long non-coding RNA is filed under the name Phasianus colchicus (ring-necked pheasant). RNAcentral's name for it is "lncRNA (ENSPCLG00000012307.1)". Lineage: Eukaryota; Metazoa; Chordata; Aves; Galliformes; Phasianidae. The record is from RNAcentral.
GUUACAAAGCCUGAGCAUCACUCCAGCAACUGAAAACUUCUCUUUUUUCCUGUUGGGAUGUGGAGCAUCACAGCAAAAGGUUUGUCCUCUCCUGGACGUCCUGGCUGUGUCCUCACACACCUGAGAGCUCUGCUGCUGAACCAGGUCAUCUAAAGGGCAGAGCUUUCUCUUCAUUAAAUGCAAUGGAAGAUGAAGAGCCCUGCAGCAC